Molecule: transfer RNA, 76 nt
Filed under: Trachymyrmex septentrionalis
Lineage: Eukaryota; Metazoa; Arthropoda; Insecta; Hymenoptera; Formicidae
Rfam family: tRNA
About the family: Transfer RNA (tRNA) molecules are approximately 80 nucleotides in length. Their secondary structure includes four short double-helical elements and three loops (D, anti-codon, and T loops).
Source: Rfam by way of RNAcentral
GCUUCAGUAGUCGAGCUGGCUAAGACACUCGCCUUGGAAAGUCGAGAGAUCUCAAGUUCGAAUCCUGGCUGAGAUA